Non-coding RNA from Sesamum indicum (sesame), 401 nucleotides. NCBI's taxonomy places the organism in Eukaryota, Viridiplantae, Streptophyta, Magnoliopsida, Lamiales, Pedaliaceae. The record is from RefSeq and is a predicted model, not a curated record.
GAAAAAAAGCAAUAUAUUCAAAAAAAAAAGAGAAGCAAAAGAAACAAAAAAAAAAGCAACAUCCACUCGCCAACUUGCAGUUGUUGCUGUUGAUGCACAUACAAUUGAGUGCUUGGAAGACAAUUUUUGGUGCUCGCAAGAUGAAGACACAACUGCUACUGCAUGCAAGGCAUGUGAAUACAAAGCCUGUACAAUGGAUUCUGUGGGUUAAAUCGUCAGUCGACAAGAGAAAGAUGGAUGCUAUACAAAAGAGAAAAAGAAGGCAUAUGAAACAAUGAAACCAAAGAGAAUAUCAAAGGAGGAGAUACUUCGUCUAAUGGAGGAAAAGAAACAACUCAAAGAAGCAUGUGAAGACAAAGCCUGUACAAUGGAUUUUGUAGGUCAAAUCCUGAGACGACAAG